This 491-nucleotide ribosomal RNA is filed under the name uncultured bacterium. RNAcentral describes it as "partial 16S ribosomal RNA". It matches the Rfam family "Bacterial small subunit ribosomal RNA", at positions 29 to 506 of the family's 1533-position model. The record is from RNAcentral.
AGUGAACGCUGGCGGUAGGCCUAACACAUGCAAGUCGAACGGCAGCACAGUAAGAGCUUGCUCUUACGGGUGGCGAGUGGCGGACGGGUGAGGAAUACAUCGGAAUCUACUUUUUCGUGGGGGAUAACGUAGGGAAACUUACGCUAAUACCGCAUACGACCUACGGGUGAAAGCAGGGGAUCUUCGGACCUUGCGCGAUUGAAUGAGCCGAUGUCGGAUUAGCUAGUUGGCGGGGUAAAGGCCCACCAAGGCGACGAUCCGUAGCUGGUCUGAGAGGAUGAUCGGCCACACUGGAACUGAGACACGGCCCAGACUCAUACGGGAGGCAGCAGUGGGGAAUAUUGGACAAUGGGCGCAAGCCUGAUCCAGCCAUACCGCGUGGGUGAAGAAGGCCUUCGGGUUGUAAAGCCCUUUUGUUGGGAAAGAAAAGCAGCAGGUUAAUACCCCGCUGUUCUGACGGUACCCAAAGAAUAAGCACCGGCGAACUUCGU